GCGGUGUGGGAUGGGCCCGCGGCCUAUCAGCUUGUUGGUGGGGUGAUGGCCUACCAAGGCGACGACGGGUAGCCGGCCUGAGAGGGUGACCGGCCACACUGGGACUGAGAUACGGCCCAG
RNAcentral lists this ribosomal RNA (120 nucleotides) under uncultured bacterium. Its description in RNAcentral is "partial 16S ribosomal RNA". It matches the Rfam family "Bacterial small subunit ribosomal RNA", at positions 215 to 334 of the family's 1533-position model. The record is from RNAcentral.